CAAAGAAGCAAGAAAUGGGAAUCAAAAUAAGAUCUUUAAAUGUCUCUGCCCAAAAUUCUUACAACGGAACUUCCCUUUCAACUUUCUCACAAAAACAUACUGUUGUCAUUUGGGUAGUUUGCAGCUACUGGAGAUAGAAAAGCAUUUCAGACCUUGGUUAGAGAGUCAUUCCAGCCCUUCUUCCAACUUUUUUUUUUUUUUUUUUAUUAAAUGCCUAUGUUCAACUUCCCUAGUGAAGGCUAUUUGCAUUUUGCUAUUCUCUUGACUGGUUUACUAAGGACUAGUUUAUAUAUUCUAUAAUUUCUUUUCAUCUAUCUCUAUUACAGUGCUGUUGCGGGUGAAUGUUUGCAUAUACAGAAUUACAGAUUGCUGCAAUACGACUGUUUAGAAGAUUGACCUCAGCGACUUCACUCGUUAACAACAAACUUCUUGAAAAUUUUAAGUCCUUUCAUAUUCUUAAACAAAAUUGUUAGUUUAUGACACAUAUUAGGACUAAGGACACAUUGCUACAUUUUUGCCUGAUGGUGCAUACAUUUUGGACUGACGGUGAAAUCCUUGAUGGUUCUUGGUCUCUGAGAUCAGGGUGAUCACUUUUGAGAGAUCUUUCACAGAAGUUAGAACCAAGAGCCUGAGGGGCAGAGGGUAGACCAAGCUCAGCUCUAACUGUAAACAUACUGUACAGGGUACCAAAGGAACAAAGCCUGGCUAACUGAAGGCUAUGAUGGGAUAUAAAGAAAACCCACAAGUAAAACUGCUUCUUGAUGAAAUGCUGAAAACAAAUCCAAAAAAAUUCUGGAC
RNAcentral lists this long non-coding RNA (798 nucleotides) under Gallus gallus (chicken). RNAcentral describes it as "lncRNA (ENSGALG00010015514.1)". Lineage: Eukaryota; Metazoa; Chordata; Aves; Galliformes; Phasianidae. The record is from RNAcentral.